This 253-nucleotide ribosomal RNA is filed under the name uncultured bacterium. Its description in RNAcentral is "partial 16S ribosomal RNA". It matches the Rfam family "Bacterial small subunit ribosomal RNA", at positions 524 to 776 of the family's 1533-position model. The record is from RNAcentral.
UACGGAGGGUGCAAGCGUUAUCCGGAUUUACUGGGUUUAAAGGGUGCGUAGGCGGACUUUUAAGUCAGUGGUGAAAGCUCCGAGCUUAACUCGGAAACUGCCAUUGAUACUAUUAGUCUUGAAUUCGGUUGAGGUUGGCGGAAUGUGUCGUGUAGCGGUGAAAUGCUUAGAUAUGACACAGAACACCGAUUGCGAAGGCAGCUAGCUAAACUGACAUUGACGCUGAGGCACGAAAGCGUGGGGAUCAAACAGG